This 253-nucleotide ribosomal RNA is filed under the name uncultured bacterium. RNAcentral's name for it is "partial 16S ribosomal RNA". It matches the Rfam family "Bacterial small subunit ribosomal RNA", at positions 524 to 776 of the family's 1533-position model. The record is from RNAcentral.
UACGUAGGGUGCGAGCGUUGUCCGGAAUUAUUGGGCGUAAAGAGCUCGUAGGCGGUCUGUCGCGUCUGCUGUGAAAGCCCGGGGCUUAACCCCGGGUCUGCAGUCGAUACGGGCAGGCUAGAGUUCGGUAGGGGAGAUCGGAAUUCCUGGUGUAGCGGUGAAAUGCGCAGAUAUCAGGAGGAACACCGGUGGCGAAGGCGGAUCUCUGGGCCGAUACUGACGCUGAGGAGCGAAAGCGUGGGGAGCGAACAGG